GACGAACGCUGGCGGCGUGCUUAACACAUGCAAGUCGAACGGAAAGGCCCUGCUUUUGUGGGGUGCUCGAGUGGCGAACGGGUGAGUAGCACGUGAGUAACCUGCCCUUGACUUUGGGAUAACUUCAGGAAACUGGGGCUAAUACCGGAUAGGAGCUCCUGCUGCAUGGUGGGGGUUGGAAAGUUUCGGCGGUUGGGGAUGGACUCGCGGCUUAUCAGCUUGUUUGUGGGGUAGUGGCUUACCAAGGCUUUGACGGGUAGCCGGCAUGGGAGGGUGACCGGCGACAUUGGGACUGCGAUACGGAGCAGACUCCUACGGGCGGCAGCAGUGGGGAAUAUUGCACAAUGGGCGGAAGCCUGAUGCAGAAACGCCGCGUGCGGGAUGACGGCCUUCGGGUUGUAAACAGCUUUCGCAUGUGACGAAGCGUGAGUGACGGUAAUGGGUAAAGAAGCACCGGCUAACUACGUG
RNAcentral lists this ribosomal RNA (468 nucleotides) under uncultured bacterium. Its description in RNAcentral is "partial 16S ribosomal RNA". It matches the Rfam family "Bacterial small subunit ribosomal RNA", at positions 28 to 507 of the family's 1533-position model. The record is from RNAcentral.